Molecule: long non-coding RNA, 192 nt
Organism: Sinocyclocheilus grahami
Lineage: Eukaryota; Metazoa; Chordata; Actinopteri; Cypriniformes; Cyprinidae
Exons: 3
Source: RefSeq, a predicted model, not a curated record
AAAGUAAAGAUGGAGGACCUGGAUGUGUUUAGAGAAGGAGGGAUGUUGGACCCUGAUACUCUUGCACCAGAAUGGAGAAGCUCUCAAAUUGAGCUAGAGAAAGCUGAAGAGUCUCAGAACGGCAGGCCUGAAAUGGGAAAAGUGGAGGAGAGCACGGCUGUAGUACCUAUGCAGGUUCCUCCUGUCCAGCCA